Molecule: long non-coding RNA, 686 nt
Filed under: Solanum tuberosum (potato)
Lineage: Eukaryota; Viridiplantae; Streptophyta; Magnoliopsida; Solanales; Solanaceae
Description: long non-coding RNA (STUB_LNC003612)
Source: RNAcentral
AUUAAUUGUAAUUGCUGACAUAAACCUUUGAGUAAUUUCCCCUCUGUUGUUUAUGCACAGCCAAAUAUCACCCUUGAAAAGCGGAUGCAUAAGAUUCAAUUAAUAGUAAUUACUGGCAUAAACCUUAUGGUAAUUUGGCCUCUGGUGUUUAUGCACAGCCAAGUAUCACUCUUGAAAAAGCGGAUGCAUAAGAGACAUUAAUUGUAAUUGCUGACAUAAACCUUCUAGUAAUUUCCCCUCUGUUGUUUAUGCACAGCCAAAUGUCACAGUUGAAAAAGCGGAUGCAUAAGAUGCAUUCAUAGUAAGCGCUGUGUUAUCAAAGGCGAAAAGCCCAAAAAAACUCUUAAGGUCCAUUGGGGCUUUAAGCGCAAAGUUCAAAUAAAGCGUCGGCUUUAACGGAAGAAGGUGCAAAGGAAGAAAAAAUACAAAUAUAUAUAUUUUGUCCAAUGCUAAUAAUUAUAAACAUUAAUGAAAAAUAUAUGAACAAAGAAAUUGAAAAAAAUUUAUGAUAAAGUGAAAUAUCAAUUGUUUAGUGUCAUGUCUUCAGCAAAGGCUCACUGGCAAGGAAAAGUAUGCCUUAGAACUUGAUGACACCGAAGCACAUAAAGCAAGGCGAAGCACUCAACACGUUUUGAGCCUCGCUUCAAGGCUUAAGCACACCUUUGACAACACUGGAUUACUCUGAC